UCCUACGGGGGGCAGCAGUGGGGAAUCUUGCGCAAUGCGCGAAAGCGUGACGCAGCAACGCCGCGUGGGGGAAGACGGCCUUCGGGUUGUAAACCCCUUUCAGGAGGGACGAAGGUCACACGGUUAAUAGCCGGCGUGAUUGACGGUACCUCCAGAAGAAGCCCCGGCUAACUACGUGCCAGCAGCCGCGGUAAUACGUAGGGGGCAAGCGUUGUCCGGAAUUAUUGGGCGUAAAGAGCGCGUAGGCGGUCCGAUAAGUCGGCUGUGAAAGUCAAGGGCUCAACCCUUGAAAGCCGGCCGAUACUGUCGGACUAGAGUCCGGAAGAGGCGAGUGGAAUUCCCGGUGUAGCGGUGAAAUGCGCAGAUAUCGGGAGGAACACCAAUGGCGAAGGCAGCUCGCUGGGACGGUACUGACGCUGAGGCGCGAAAGCGUGGGGAGCAAACAGGAUUAGAUACCCUGGUAGA
Molecule: ribosomal RNA, 465 nt
Filed under: uncultured bacterium
Lineage: Bacteria
Description: bacterial SSU rRNA
Rfam family: Bacterial small subunit ribosomal RNA
Source: RNAcentral